Molecule: ribosomal RNA, 1364 nt
Filed under: uncultured bacterium
Lineage: Bacteria
Description: bacterial SSU rRNA
Rfam family: Bacterial small subunit ribosomal RNA
Source: RNAcentral
CAGGCCUAACACAUGCAAGUCGAACGGUAGCACAGAGGAGCUUGCUCCUUGGGUGAUGAGUGGCGGACGGGUGAGUAAUGUCUGGGAAACUGCCCGAUGGAGGGGGAUAACUACUGGAAACGGUACGUAAUACCGCAUAACGUCGCAAGACCAAAGAGGGGGACCUUCGGGCCUCUUGCCAUCGGAUGUGCCCAGAUGGGAUUAGCUAGUAGGUGGGGUAACGGCUCACCUAGGCGACGAUCCCUAGCUGGUCUGAGAGGAUGACCAGCCACACUGGAACUGAGACACGGUCCAGACUCCUACGGGAGGCAGCAGUGGGGAAUAUUGCACAAUGGGCGCAAGCCUGAUGCAGCCAUGCCGCGUGUAUGAAGAAGGCCUUCGGGUUGUAAAAGUACUUUCAGCGAGGAGGAAGGCAUUGUGGUUAAUAACCGCAGUGAUUGACGUUACUCGCAGAAGAAGCACCGGCUAACUCCGUGCCAGCAGCCGCGGUAAUACGGAGGGUGCAAGCGUUAAUCGGAAUUACUGGGCGUAAAGCGCACGCAGGCGGUCUGACAAGUCGGAUGUGAAAUCCCCUGGCUCAACCUGGGAACUGCAUCCGAAACUGGCAGGCUAGAGUCUUGUAGAGGGGGGUAGAAUUCCAGGUGUAGCGGUGAAAUGCGUAGAGAUCUGGAGGAAUACCGGUGGCGAAGGCGGCCCCCUGGACAAAGACUGACGCUCAGGUGCGAAAGCGUGGGGAGCAAACAGGAUUAGAUACCCUGGUAGUCCACGCCGUAAACGAUGUCGACUUGGAGGUUGUGCCCUUGAGGCGUGGCUUCCGGAGCUAACGCGUUAAGUCGACCGCCUGGGGAGUACGGCCGCAAGGUUAACACUCAAAUGAAUUGACGGGGCCCGCACAAGCGGUGGAGCAUGUGGUUUAAUUCGAUGCAACGCGAAGAACCUUACCUACUCUUGACAUCCACGGAACUUAGCAGAGAUGCUUUGGUGCCUUCGGGAACUGUGAGACAGGUGCUGCAUGGCUGUCGUCAGCUCGUGUUGUGAAAUGUUGGGUUAAGUCCCGCAACGAGCGCAACCCUUAUCCUUUGUUGCCAGCGGUCAGGCCCGGGAACUCAAAGGAGACUGCCAGUGAUAAACUGGAGGAAGGUGGGAUGACGUCAAGUCAUCAUGGCCCUUACGAGUAGGGCUACACACGUGCUACAAUGGCAUAUACAAGAGAAGCGACCUCGCGAGAGCAAGCGGACCUCAUAAAGUAUGUCGUAGUCCGGAUUGGAGUCUGCAACUCGACUCCCAUGAAGUCGGAAUCGCUAGUAAUCGUGGGAAUCAGAAUGCCACGGUGAAUACGUUCCCGGGCCUUGUACACACCGCCC